AGUACACAAAUAAGUAGAACCAUAUAACAAAUAGUUUCAUAACAAGUAAAUAAUUUCAUAACAAAUCCAUAAUAUGCUAGGUCCAAUGUUCUGAUAUUCAACUAAAAUACUUAAACAAAAAUAUAAAAACAUAAAACAUAAAACACAAUCAACUCCUAAAAGAUAUAAAUCUCCAAUUGUUAAAUAUUUGUUGAGCUAAAGUGUUUCUAAAAUUGGUCCAAUGGUC
RNAcentral lists this long non-coding RNA (226 nucleotides) under Elaeis guineensis (African oil palm). RNAcentral's name for it is "long non-coding RNA (EGUI_LNC073621)". The record is from RNAcentral. Lineage: Eukaryota; Viridiplantae; Streptophyta; Magnoliopsida; Arecales; Arecaceae.